UUUAAGAUUAGGGUUUUUCCCCUACGUUCUCACCUAUAUGUAGUUAACAUCAUUUGGAAAAUCAUUUCACGGCCGCUCUUCCAUCAUCUGAGAUCUUACCGCUCCAAUUCAGUAUGCAGUUUUCUGACCUGAUCGGAGCUCCAAUAACUGACCAGAUCGAGUGUCCAUGUAUGGGAAUGGAUCAUAGCAUGUUGACAGUUCAUAGGAGCGCAUCUAUCUUUCUAUCAGCAACUCGAUAGAGGGCCGUCCUUCACAGUUGAAGUUGUGUUAUACCUGGUGGUGGUUCAGAACUCUUAAAUGAACGCAUAUGGAAUGCCUAUGCUAGACCGCAGGUAUAUGUUCCCCUUGAAGGCGAGAAUAGUGAAACACAUACAAAUAUAACUCUUUUGCCAGACAAUGAUGAAGAUCUUUCUCAGGCACAGUCGUCUGCGUCUAAUCACUCUUACACUCUCAUUGAAGAAGGAAAUGUGGAAGCAUGUUCACCAUCAAUGGGCCGUAUAGGGGGCAAUAUGGUAGUUAAUUCACCCUUGAACACAAGUUAAAAUACUCGCCCACAAGAGCAUGGUUCCAUCGAUGGUGUAGCUGAUGCUGAUGUUUCCGCUAUAAGAAAUGGAAUGAUUUCGCUGGAUAUUUCCAAUUUUCUAAAAUUAGAAAAUGAAAAUGUCCAUGUGGGCCCCCACCCUCAAACCGUACCACUGACACAACCUUACUUCGGCACAAAUCAAUUUCCUCAAAAUCCAACCCAUUUUUCACCUGAGGUACAACCGAUAUUCCAGCCACAUUAUGCAACUCAUCCAGGCUAUACGAGUUCUGAGACCCCACUUUACCCGAAUAUGUUGCCAACUGGAUAUUUCCAUCAACAGUACGCGAUAGGGGGAUAUGCUUUCAACCCGCCACCCGUUUCACCUUAUGCAACAGGAUAUCUUCCUAACAACCUGUUUCCGGCGCCUUUUGGCAUCAUGGUUCCAAGCUUUAGUGGUCAAAGUCAAAGUCAAACUUCAGGAGCCAAUGUGCAACAAGUUAACAACUUAUAUGGGCAUUUUGCGUUACCCUUAUUGUCGCAAGAUCAUAUAUUACAAUCUUUGGGGCUCGUGAGCCAUGUUAACUUGAGUUCAAGAAGUGUAGGUACCACAAAUCCUUAUUAUCUCCGGAAAACACGCUGUAUCAAAUAAUUGUCAAACAUACGACUUAGCACAAAUUUACACAUGACCGAGACUUGAUGCAGAUUGUUGAAGAAGGAACCUUUAUCAAAUGUCGGUUAGAGUAGUGAGGACAUUGCACAAGAUUCAACACAUAUAUGCGUACAUUGAGCAGGAAAUCUGAUACGAGAAGCGUUACGGAUUUGGUUUUGCUGUGAAGACUCAACUCAAUAUUUUGCGUACCUAUAUCAUCGGUUAAGGGGGUAUCUGUUUAAAGAUAAAAUCUUGAAGCAUGCAUCCAGAGUCUCUUUCUUCAACUGUGGCCUUAAAAAAAGGUUAACAAGCCCAGAAAGUCCGCUAGACCAUCAACAUCCAUUCCACCUAGCGGGCACAUUUUCGAACAUAUAGGAAAUGGCAACGAAGAUGUUGGUUCAGAUGUUCUAGAAUGUUCUAGAACAUUCGAACCCCAUCUUUCAUUCAAAGAAGUCAAAUCUUUUGAUGAUUUUCGUAUUCUGGUCAUUGAAGUCAGCAUUGAACUUGACUUCUCCCAUGAUGUCAGAAUGGGUUACUACAAACUAUGUUUAUACAAGAAACAAUUUCUUCAUCCGGAAGGUGUGUAUGACAGGUUAGCGGGGAAUAUGAUCGGUGAAACCGUAGAGAUUUGUAAUGAGAUUAUGAAGUGCAAGCUCACCACAUCUAUAAAGAGUUUGAAAAAUGGGAUUAGUACCUGAAAUCUUUCAAGUUUUUUGGCAUGAAUGUUGCGCUUUUACGCCAUAAGAUACACACACUUGCAAGACGUGUGUUUGAAUUAGAAUUUCGUUGCACAUAAACAGUAUACGGAGGCAGCAAACGAGCAUAAACACGUAAAUGAUGAGUCAAAGAAAUUAACACCCAUAUGUGAGGAGUUGAAGAGUACUAAAAAUGUGAGGAUAUUUUAGGCUCUUUCUGAAAGUUAUUAGCUUGUUUUCCUUUUAUGAUCAACUGUAAAACAUCUGAGUAAUGAACUACAUUUAGUGAAUCAGUAAUCCUUUUUUGGGUU
Molecule: RNA transcript, 2178 nt
Organism: Helianthus annuus (common sunflower)
Lineage: Eukaryota; Viridiplantae; Streptophyta; Magnoliopsida; Asterales; Asteraceae
Gene name: B3 domain-containing protein Os01g0234100-like
Exons: 5
Source: RefSeq, a predicted model, not a curated record